UGAACUUCAGGCACGAAAUGAGUUGGUCUUAGCACUUAAAGAGAGAAUUAAAGUUGUCCCUGAUGGUGUAACAACCAAAACUCAACCGAUAACUGGUUUGGAAUCAUCAAGUUCAAAUAGAAAAAUCAUAUUUGACUCAAUGCAAGAUGAAACGUUUGAUAACAACUACUACCAACAUACUGAUGACACCAAUAAAUUUAGAGAAGAAUAUGAAAUGCGAAGAUUGCAACAGGACGAAGGGUUGGAUGUGAUUGCAGAAGGACUUGGUACUCUGAAAAACAUGGCUCAGGACAUGCAAGAGGAAGUUGAUAGACAAGUGCCAUUGAUAGAUGAAAUUGAUGACAAGGU
Lactuca sativa (garden lettuce) is the source of this 348-nucleotide non-coding RNA. NCBI's taxonomy places the organism in Eukaryota, Viridiplantae, Streptophyta, Magnoliopsida, Asterales, Asteraceae. The record is from RefSeq and is a predicted model, not a curated record.